RNAcentral lists this long non-coding RNA (1327 nucleotides) under Rattus norvegicus (Norway rat). Its description in RNAcentral is "long non-coding RNA NONRATT003198". The record is from RNAcentral. Lineage: Eukaryota; Metazoa; Chordata; Mammalia; Rodentia; Muridae.
CCACAUCAUCAUCUCCUCCCCAAGUCUGUGGGAAGAGGAAGGGCCAAGAUGGGCACACCUGAGCCAUACCGAACCCAUUUCUUAUAGGCGCAGUGUGGAGCAGCUCUAACAGAUGGCUAGUGAGUUGCAAGUGUCCCUUAAGGAACAUAACAACUGUUGUGGCUGAUUUUUGCCAAACCGAAUGUCCCUAUUUCAGGCUUAGAGGAGAAUGUUACCAAGCUGAGAGGUCAAUGGCUCUACCCAUCAUGUUCCACUGACACUCCUGAGGUAUUACAGGUUUCCAGGUACAGGGAGGAAGACAAGGAAAUGGGGUAGGGAUGGUGGAUGGCACGCAAUAGGACCUCAGCCCUGACAGACAAAAUGUCACAAGAGGCUAGGACAUGAUUGGUAUUCCACCUCCGAAGGAGGACAAGGAAGCUUAAUGUUUGUCCCAGGGUCUUGGCCAUAUCUCUCUUUCUAGUGGCUCCAGUACCUGGCAAGCAGCAAGGACUGAGUGCAUGCUCCGAUGGAUGGAUGGAUGGAUGGAUGGAUGGAUGGAUGGAUGGAUGUUGGAUGGAUGGAUGGAUGGAUGAAUGGACAGAUGGAUAGAUGAGGUAUUGGCAGCUAGCAAGAGAGAAGGCAUUUAACACAAAGAUUAGUAAUGCAAAAAUAUAUAAGUGAGUGGAACAGAGAUCAUGGUGGAUACACACAGCUGUCUUUCAGCUCAGGAGAGCGAGCACCCAGUAAGCAAUAGAAAAGCAAAAAUAGAAGAAGAAAAAGAAGAAAAAAGCAGGCAAACAGAAACAGGGAAAUGUAAAACACAGAGACCGUUUGAACUCCGUCAGUUAUGAAACCAUAGUAAGUGGCUUGUGUUUGUGACAUCCUGGCCUUGUCUUCAGAAAUGUGUAAUGACUUCAGAAAUGCCUGCGGCUGACACGGGGUAGGGAAGUAAAUGAUCUGUAAAUACAUGUGUGUUAUUGCAUUUGUGAUAGCAGCUACAUCCUGAAUGUUUAGUACGGUCCUCCUAAAGGGGAAUUUAAGUGUGAUUUUUUUCACCUAACUUGUCUUUGUUUUACACAAUAAAUGUCUUUACUUUUACAGUUAUGAAAAAUAUUGGUGAGGGGGCUGGGAAAUGGCUCAUUGGUUACGAGCACCGGUUGCUCUUCCAGGGGUCCCAGGUUCUAUUCCCAGCACCUAAGAUGGCCGCUCCCAAAUGUUUGCAACUCCAGUUCCAGGAGAUCCAGUGCCCUGUUCUGACCCUCAAGGGCACAAGGUACACAGGUGGCACACAUACAUACGCACAGGCAAAAUAUCUAUAUGCAUAAAAAUAAAUCUUUUUAAAAAUGGU